This 253-nucleotide ribosomal RNA is filed under the name uncultured bacterium. RNAcentral describes it as "partial 16S ribosomal RNA". It matches the Rfam family "Bacterial small subunit ribosomal RNA", at positions 524 to 776 of the family's 1533-position model. The record is from RNAcentral.
UACGGGGGGAGCAAGCGUUGUUCGGAUUUACUGGGCGUAAAGAGCUCGUAGGCGGCUGUUCAAGUCGAACGUGAAAACUCGGGGCUCAACUCCGAGCCUGCGUUCGAUACUGGACGGCUAGAGUCUGGUAGGGGGAUCUGGAAUUCCUGGUGUAGCGGUGGAAUGCGCAGAUAUCAGGAGGAACACCGGUGGCGAAGGCGGAUCUCUGGGCCAUUACUGACGCUGAGGAGCGAAAGCGUGGGGAGCGAACAGG